CAAAAAUCAACUUUAUCUAGCUAUCGUCUAGCGAAUCGGAAUUCGACUUGUGUCUACAAUCAGAUUGCAAAUGGUUGGGUUGAUUCAAUACAUGAUGUUGGGGUGAUUUGAUAUCGUCAGUGCUUUCCUUUCUAAUGACGAGAAAGGUGAAGAAAAGCCGCAUGUGAAGACCACAGGUUUACGACAUUUACCUUUGUGGUCAUUCGAAACUACUUCGUAGUGUUUGAGUUAUAAUUUAUAAAUGGAUAACAAAUUCAUAGGAUGAACCUGUUAGGUGUUUGUGAUGUUUGCUUCUUUGGAAUUCAGCCACCCGUGUUCAGUUAACAAUCUUAAUUUUGAUUUUUAAUGAAUUUCCUCUCUAAAUUAUUUGUGAUAGCAGUUUAGGAUAGUUUUUGAACAAUUAUUUCAAACUGUUAAAUAGAAAUAGAACUGAAGCAAAGUGUUUCUCACACAUUGAUAUGUAUUAUGUAUGUGAUUUAUAUACACAACACAUUACAUGAUCAUAAUAUGAACAGGUACAAGGAAAUGAUAAAGCUCUUACAAAUGGAA
Non-coding RNA from Camellia sinensis, 549 nucleotides. NCBI's taxonomy places the organism in Eukaryota, Viridiplantae, Streptophyta, Magnoliopsida, Ericales, Theaceae. The record is from RefSeq and is a predicted model, not a curated record.